Molecule: long non-coding RNA, 220 nt
Organism: Mytilus californianus (California mussel)
Lineage: Eukaryota; Metazoa; Mollusca; Bivalvia; Mytilida; Mytilidae
Exons: 3
Source: RefSeq, a predicted model, not a curated record
CAGGAUAUAAUAGGUCCAGGUAUAAACUGUUAACACUGGGAACUACGACAACAGGAUAUAAUAGGUCCAGGUAUAAACUGUUAACACUGGGAACUACGACAACAGGAUAUAAUAGGUCCAGAUAUAAACUGUUAACACUGGGAACUGCGACAACAGGAUAUAAUAGGUCCAGGUAUAAACUGUUAACACUGGGAACUACGAGAACAGGAUACAAAUCUCG